CAUUUUAUUUUAAGGUGUCCUUGUUACACGUUACACAUACUUACUAUUAUAAAAACAAUUAAUUAUGCAUAAUUACAUGCAAGAAACCCUAACCCAAACCCUAACCAUAUAGUAAUGUAGUUAAUAUUACUCAGUACUUAAUUGAUAAUUACACUGUGACUAGGACACUUUAAAAAAAUGUAUUAUUUUUAUAAUUAAUAUUUUAAGAAAACAAUUAAUAUUAAUAACAUUAUUAAACUAAAUAAUAUUACUGUUAUAUUACUUUAUUAUUAUUAUUGUUACUGUUGUUAUUAAGAAGAAGAAGAGGGGAAAAGUAUAAGAACAGUCUCCCGCUCAUAUAAAGGGAAACAUACAAACAGAGAGGAUUGAAAUAGAGUUGUUUGAAAUUUAAGCAAACUUUUCCAGUGUUAUUUGCAUAACAAUGACACGCGUUGAACUCUGACACGCCCACCCGAGCAGCGCUUCUGAAAAUGUACAGGAUCACAAGACGCCAAUAAUGACGGUCUCAGGAGGUUAAAAACCUUAAUUUCUUUUCGACUGAAGAAAGAAAGACAUGAACAUCUCUGAUAACAUGGGGCAACAUCCCCUCGCAGCCAGAUCUCAUGUGUCCAAACUCCAAACAGUCGUCAUGAGCUUUUCUUUUGCCUUUCAAUGGCCGUGGCGCUCUACAAGUCUCAACUUUACCUGAAUCCAUGCAGUUGAGCCAGAUCUGUUGUUUUAUUCCACCUGCCAAGGAUUAUGUUAUAUGAGGACUGUCAGCGUCUCUUUGAUGCAGCUCUUGGAUGGAGUGGAAGUCAACAGCAAUGACUUCAACAUGUGUCUAAUCAGAUGGUCGGCGUUUUGUGAACUGGAGCUGCUUUGUAGCUUUCAAACAUGGAUCAGCUUUUCUGAAUUAAGGACUCGGGGCUGUAAAACAAAAAUUAAGUGUGGAUACAAGCUUUCAUUCACAGUGUAAAUCGUGACGGUCGAUAAUGAAGCGAGUUUAAUGUGCUCUGUGCUCUGGAGAAGGACUGUUUGGUUUUUUUGGCCCUCCACUGAAAAAUAUUCCUAAAUAUGAAUAGCCUCACUAAGAGUAUAUUACAUGUAUUUCUCUAAACAAAUCAUACUUAACAGACAGGACUUGUCUUGUGCUUUGCUGUGUUAUCUCAGAGAAAGGUAUGCAUGAAGAUGAAUUCUCACUGACGCAGAGCUAUCUGUUUAUAUGAUCGACUGCUUUCUUGAGCUGCAGGAGCAUUAAGAGGUCCACAAUAGGAUAGAUGAGUUAUCUGGCCAUCUUCUGCUCUCUCCCACUUGCUCUUUUUCUCUUUUUUUUUUUUUGCAUUGUUUCACAUGCUGUUGUGCAGCUUUCCCUCAGUUCAGAAGGCCUUGUGUUAGAUCAGCUGUCCCUGAACUCUUUGAAUAUUUAUACAAUUAGAUGCUUUAGAGCAAAGGUCACCUGAUAGGUCACCAGAUAAAGGUCAGAGAAAAACAGAAGUGCAAAACAAUAUUGUGUCUUAAAACAAAAACUGCUUCACUGCUAUGUUUUAGAAAUAUUAAAAUUUAAAAAAAUAAUAAUAAUAAAAAUGAAAAAUCCUGCAAAGGAAAAAAAAGCAAUACCAUAAAAAUUUGUCAUCAUGUGACCAGGCAUUAAAACUGCUUAGAAAUGAAAAUUCUGCCAUUGAAAACUGUCGUUUUUCAGAAAAAAAUUUCUUUCUUCUCUGUUAAAUGCAGAAGACAUUUUUUAAGGAUUUGUUGGUAACCAAAUAGUUAUUAAACAGUAGACACUGACUUUCAUGAUAUGAAAAAAUAUAUACUAUUGAAGUCAAGGGGGACCAGGUUUAGUUACCAACAUUUGUCAAAAUUUUCUUUUGUGUCCAACAGAAGAAAGAAAUUAAUACAGGGUUGGAACAGCAUGAGGGUGCAAAAAUGCUUACAGAAUUGUUAUUUUGGGGUAAACUACCUUUAAGGUUAUAUCACAUAACCUAAUGACUUUAUGUUUUUUUCCAGA
Molecule: long non-coding RNA, 1987 nt
Organism: Labeo rohita (rohu)
Lineage: Eukaryota; Metazoa; Chordata; Actinopteri; Cypriniformes; Cyprinidae
Exons: 4
Source: RefSeq, a predicted model, not a curated record